AAUUAUAUGCUUGUCUCAAAGACUAAGCCAUGCAUGUCUAAGUACAGACUACGAUAAUCAAAGUGACACUGCGAAUGGCUCAGUAUAUCAGUUGUGGUUCCUUAGACAGUACCAUCCUACUUGGAUAACUGUGGCAAUUCUAGAGCUAAUACAUGCAAGAAAGCUCCGCACCUCGCUGGCCGAGGUGUAACAAGAGCGCCUUAUUUACUCUCACAAAGCCAAACCCGGGCUGGUCCCGGCGAAUUGAAACACGUUGACUCAGAAAUAACCACUGGCUGAUCGCACGGCCUUGCGCCGGCGACGUAUCUUUCAAACGUCUGCCCUAUCACACUGUCGACGGUACGGGCUGGGCGUACCAUGGUGAUAACGGGUAACGGGGAAUCAGGGUUCGAUUCCGGAGAGGGAGCAUGCGAAACGGCUACCACAUCCAAGGAAGGCAGCAGGCACGCAAAUUACCCACUCCCGACACGGGGAGGUAGUGACGAAAAAUAACAAUACGGGACUCUUUCGAGGCCCCGCAAUUGGAAUGGGUGCACUGUAAAGAAGUGUACGAGUAGCGAUUGGAGGGCAAGUCUGGUGCCAGCAGCCGCGGUAAUUCCAGCUCCAAUAGCGUAUAUUAAAGUUGUUGCGUUUAAAAAGCUCGUAGUUGGAUCUCGGAGAACAGGCGUGCGGCCCUCCGCCGAGGCGGUCUGGGACUACCCCGCAUCGCUUUCUGUACUCAUACAGGCUGGUUGGUGCUUCGCGGCGCCGUACCCCUGGGGCUCUUGAGUGAGCGUCUCGGGUGACCAGCUCGGUUACUUUGAAAAAAUGAGAGAGUUCAAAUCAGGCACAAGUUGCCGGCAUCAUGUCGCAUGGAAUAACGGAACAGGACCUCGGUUCUGAAUGUUCGUUGGCUUACCGAACCUGAGGCAAUGAUUGAGAGGGGCGGACGGGGGCAUUCGUACUGCGAUGUUAGAGGUGAAAUUCUUGGAUCAUCGCAAGACGGUCCUAGAGCGAAAGCAUUUGUCAAGAAUGUUUUCCUUAGUCAAGAACGAAAGUCAGAGGUUCGAAGACGAUUAGAUACCGUCGUAGUUCUGACCAUAAACUAUGCCAACUCGUAAUCCGCCCGAGUAAAUAUCGUACUUCCUGACGGGCAACCCCGGUAAACCUCAAGUUUUUGGGUUCCGGGGGGAGUAUGGUUGCAAAGCUGAAACUUAAAGGAAUUGACGGAAGGGCACCACCAGGAGUGGAGCCUGCGGCUUAAUUUGACUCAACACGGGAAAACUCACCCGGUCCGGACAUCGGAAGGAUUGACAGAUUGAUAGCUCUUUCUCGAUUCGAUGGUUGGUGGUGCAUGGCCGUUCCUAGUUCGUGGAACGAUUUGUCUGGUUAAUUCCGACAACGAACGAGACUCUAGUCCGCUAAUUAGUUCCCGGAAGAUAACACGGCUUCCUCGGCGAACUUCUUAGAGAUACAAGUGGCGUAAAAGCCACGCGAGAUUGAGCGAAAACAGGUCUGUGAUGCCCUUAGAUGUCCGGGGCCGCACGUGCGCUACACUGAAUGGAUCAGCGGGGUUGUGCCUUGCCCGAAAGGGUCGGGGAAUCCGUUGAAACCCAUUCGUGCUAGGGACUGGGGCCUGGAAUUGUUCCCCACGAACGAGGAAUUCCUAGUAAGCGCCAGUCAAGAGCUGGCGUUGAUUACGUCCCUGCCCUUUGUACACACCGCCCGUCGCUACUACCGAUCGUCCCGGUUAAUGAGCGGUCCGGAUUGGACGCCAUUACGGGCCGUUCGUCGUGUCACGCCCCAUCUAUUACGGGUGGUGGUAGGCGCGCGCCGGCCCGUUGGCUGUUUGCCGAGAAGAAUUGCGAAUUUGCCCGGGAUAGAGGAAGUAAAAGUC
RNAcentral lists this ribosomal RNA (1876 nucleotides) under Poromya illevis. RNAcentral's name for it is "SSU rRNA". It matches the Rfam family "Eukaryotic small subunit ribosomal RNA". Lineage: Eukaryota; Metazoa; Mollusca; Bivalvia; Poromyidae. The record is from RNAcentral.